Molecule: long non-coding RNA, 353 nt
Organism: Onychostoma macrolepis
Lineage: Eukaryota; Metazoa; Chordata; Actinopteri; Cypriniformes; Cyprinidae
Exons: 3
Source: RefSeq, a predicted model, not a curated record
GGUAAAUCUUUGGUCGUUGGUUGAAGCAGAGGUCCAGAGUCACUGCAGAGAGAGCCGUCUGAGAUGAAAAUCAAACGUUAAAUUGCGUCACUAGCAGAAAGAGAGCACUCAUGAAGUCUCAUUGAAGUAUGCUGGCAGGGCCCAGGGGUCUCUCAACACACUAAAAGACAGUCAUUUGUCGCCACCUAGUGGAGUAAUGAUAGACCCUGCAGAAAGAGUUACGAAUUCAUCUUUUAGUGAAUGGAGUCAAUGGACUGGAAUAACUUGGGGAAAUCAACAUCAACAUUAUAAAGACAGCACAGGGAUAGUGGGUGUGUAUGAAGGUUAUACAAAGUGGGCAGUAAAUAAAUGAA